Molecule: ribosomal RNA, 255 nt
Filed under: uncultured bacterium
Lineage: Bacteria
Description: partial 16S ribosomal RNA
Rfam family: Bacterial small subunit ribosomal RNA
Source: RNAcentral
UACGGGGGGAGCAAGCGUUGUUCGGAUUUACUGGGCGUAAAGGGCGCGUAGGCGGCCACCGCAAGUCAAUUGUGAAAUCUCCGGGCUUAACUCGGAACGGUCAAGUGAUACUGUCGGACUAGAGUACAGAAGGGGCAACUGGGAAUUCUCGGUGUAGCGGUGAAAUGCGUAGAUAUCGAGAGGAACACCUGUGGCGAAGGCGGGUUGCUGGGCUGAUACUGACGCUGAGGUGCGAAAGCGUGGGGAGCGAACCGG